This 252-nucleotide ribosomal RNA is filed under the name uncultured prokaryote. Its description in RNAcentral is "partial 16S ribosomal RNA". It matches the Rfam family "Bacterial small subunit ribosomal RNA", at positions 524 to 776 of the family's 1533-position model. The record is from RNAcentral.
UACGAAGGGGGCUAGCGUUGUUCGGAAUUACUGGGCGUAAAGGGCGCGUAGGCGGUUACGUAAGUCAGGUGUGAAAGCCCUGGGCUUAACCUGGGAGGUGCAUUUGAUACUGCGUAACUAGAGACCGAGAGAGGAAAGUGGAUUGCGAGUGGAGAGGUGAAAUUCGUAGAUAUUCGCAAGAACACCAGUGGCGAAGGCGGCUUUCUGGCUCGGACCUGACGCUAAGGCGCGAAAGCGUGGGGAGCAAACAGG